Molecule: long non-coding RNA, 1594 nt
Filed under: Mus musculus (house mouse)
Lineage: Eukaryota; Metazoa; Chordata; Mammalia; Rodentia; Muridae
Description: predicted gene 4224
Source: RNAcentral
GGAAGCAAGCCAGUAAUGAACAUCCCUCCAUGGCCUCUGCAUCAACUCUUGCUUUCUGACCUGCUUGAAUUCCAGUCCUGACUUCCUUUGGUGAUGAACAGCAAUGUGGAAGAAAAGUUGGAAUGGAUGGGACAUAAGUACCUUGAAGACAGAAGUAGAAAGAAGACAGAAUUGGAGGGAAAAAAAGAAGGAACUUCUAAAUAUCCUGCUGCCUAGUAGAAAAGUGGACUCAAGACACAGCCACUCCAGGCUUCUGUGCUCCACAAGAAGUGCUCCUUACUCAGUCCCAGGCCAUAUAGUGCAUGCAGGCCUGCAACCCCAGCAACUCUGGAAGUAGAAUCAAGAGCAUCACAAGUUCAGACACAACCAGGCCAUAUAGGGAGUACAAAGAAGGCUGAGAAACUUAGUAAGAACGUUGAAGAUCAAAAGGUAAAAUGAGGACUGAGAUUACAGUUCAGUGGUAAUUCUUGACACAUGCAAGGCCCUUAGUUCAAUUCCUGUACUAAAGGAAAUACUAUACUACUACUAAUAAUAAUUAAUAAAAUGAUGAUUAAAAAAAUACUCCACUUACUAACAAAAAGACUGGAAGAAGAGGAACUUUGGGGACCACUGCUAAAAUCAGACACAUGAAUAGCCUUGUCAGAGAGAUGGUCCUGCAUUAAAGUUUUCAACAAAAUGGAUACGGCUAAUAAAACUGCAGACAAGAAAUGGAACUCAAUUUUUACCUAAAAUAGCAGGAAUAACAUCAAUUAGAAAAUAGAGAAUCACAGUAAACCUCAUGAGUGUUCACCUUUGUAAACCACAGACAGACUCUGAAUCCUAAUGCCAGGACAGCUGACAGAGGCAGAAUGGACUCACAGAGAGGAAACAUCUCCACAAGCCAAAAAAUCCAAGCCCACUCUGCUAAAACACUGCAUCUUUGGUGCUCCUGACUCAAUCCAGGGCAGAUCUGGCUCUAAGCCUGUACAAUCCCCUACAAUAUUUUUGUGGACAGGAAAACAUAGAGGGUUCCAUUGCUGGACAGAAAAGAAGUCAGAGCUAUUUCUUACACUCUGAGCAUACUAUAAUCCUCUUUCAUCUUCCAUUUAGAAUCCUGGGCUCAUGUCCUAACACAGUUCACAGACUCAAAGUGUAAUAGAAUCAUAUUAGUCAAUCGUCAGCCUUCAACACUAUACUAUAAUCUCUUAAUUUCCUUUAUGGUUCAGAUAAAUUGCAAUUGUGUGAAGCAAAACAAUAUUGCCCACUUCUUAUAUUCAUAAAAAUAAACAAUUUAAUUCUUAUAGUGCCUAAAGCUUUCUCAACUAGCCAAAGAAAUUUUUCAUCACAAACUUUUUUUUCUACAUCAAAUCUCAGGCAUAGUUACAAGGGAAAAAGUUAAUAUACACUUGCUGUAUGUUUUCCAUUUGUCACACACUUAUUUUCCAUUAAUUGUAUUAAUUCCAUUUAAUUGUAUGAAAAUCUUUUUUAUAGAAUGCUUUGGAUUAUUAUUAUUAUUAUUAUUAUUAUUAUUAUUAUUACUAAACACAUUUAGUAAUGGAUAUAAAUAUCCACAUUUCAUCAUAUUAUUUUUUGCUUAAUAAAAUAUGUCUAUCCU